RNAcentral lists this long non-coding RNA (341 nucleotides) under Gallus gallus (chicken). RNAcentral describes it as "lncRNA (ENSGALG00010028644.1)". Lineage: Eukaryota; Metazoa; Chordata; Aves; Galliformes; Phasianidae. The record is from RNAcentral.
GUGAGUUUGGGGGCUGCGGGGCGUGCGGCAGGCUGUCCGCACCGGGUGGCUGUGGGAAAGCUGGCAUUGCCCCACUGGGGAUGUCCUUGCUUUUCCAGCAGCCACAGCGAGCGCAGACAUCCCGGAGGACGUGGCGGACAUCCAGCAUCUCCUGGCAUGGCUCAACGACGAAGUGACAUCCAAGACAGGCAUCCUGGACGACGACGCAGACAUCGAUGACCUGCUCACGUGGAUCAACAACGAAGAGACACCCAGCACCCACAGACUUGACAACGAUGAUGUGGAAAUGGACCGUUUGCUCACCUGGAUUGACGGUGAGACUGUGCUCCGCAGAGGUGACC